UCGCUACUACCGAUUGAAUGGUUUAGUGAGAUCCUCGGAUUGGUCCGGAAGUGACCGCAAGGUUGCCUCUAGGUUCUGAGAAGACGAUCAAACUUGAUCAUUUAGAGGAAGUAA
RNAcentral lists this ribosomal RNA (114 nucleotides) under uncultured eukaryote. RNAcentral's name for it is "partial small subunit ribosomal RNA". It matches the Rfam family "Eukaryotic small subunit ribosomal RNA", at positions 1676 to 1785 of the family's 1831-position model. The record is from RNAcentral.